GACGAACCGUCCAAACGUUAUUCGGAAUUACUGGGCUUAAAGGGUGCGUAGGCGGCCUGUUAAGUUGGGUGUGAAAUCCCUCGGCUCAACCGAGGAACUGCGCCCAAAACUAGCAGGCUUGAGGGAGUCAGAGGUGAGCGGAACUCAGGGUGGAGCGGUGAAAUGCGUUGAUAUCCUGGGGAACACCGGUUGCGAAAGCGGCUCACUGGGGCUCUUCUGACGCUGAGGCACGAAAGCUAGGGGAG
Molecule: ribosomal RNA, 245 nt
Filed under: uncultured Thermogutta sp.
Lineage: Bacteria; Pseudomonadati; Planctomycetota; Planctomycetia; Pirellulales; Thermoguttaceae
Description: partial 16S ribosomal RNA
Rfam family: Bacterial small subunit ribosomal RNA
Source: RNAcentral